RNAcentral lists this transfer RNA (68 nucleotides) under Marmota monax (woodchuck). RNAcentral's name for it is "tRNA.Ala". The record is from RNAcentral. Lineage: Eukaryota; Metazoa; Chordata; Mammalia; Rodentia; Sciuridae.
GGUUUGUAGCUGCGUGGUAGAGCAUUUACCUAGCAUGCAUGAGGUACUGGGUUCUAUCCCCAGCACCA